AUUUAUAAUAAAAUAUAGUUUCAUAACUUUAAAAAAUAAACCGUUUGGUGGCCAAAUCAUUUAUUUUAUUUUUUUUAUUAACAUCUAAAUAUCUGUAGACACUUGGAGGCAAAAAAAAAAAGGAUUGAUUGAUUGUUUUGAGUUUUCUUUUAAGCGAAAUGUGAAACAAAAGGCAACUAUUGAAACACAGAACUCGUGCGUGGACUUCAUGAAUAUAAGAAUAUAGAAAUAUAACACAAACACAGAAGAUUGAAGAUUAAGAAAGAUUAAGAAAAGUUGACAAUCAAACGUAGCAUGCCAUAUAUUCAGUUUUAUGUCCUGAAUAUAUAUUUUUUUUGAGUUUCUCCAAAAUAUGAAUAACCUCUUAUCUUAAUGGCAGCUGAUCCACGUAAUCUGUGGUGCAGUAAUAAGCUGGGUAAUAUUUAGAGCUGUUUUUAUUGUCUGUGUAUUCAGUCUCGGAUACUUCAGUCAUCAUCUUCUGGGACGAUAGUAAGUACAUAGAAAACGUUUGCAGGACUCUGCUCCAUACUAAUAAACAAUUAUAUCAGACUGAAUACAGUCUGAGAAGGUAAAUCUUUGAGUUCACUUGCAAGGUUACACUUAUUAAAGCCAAAAUAAAUUUACAUUAGAACAAACUAUUAAUAAAAAAAAUUGAAUUUGAAUCAAUUUAAUUUAAAUCAAGCCCAAGUGCAUAUUUUUUAAACGAGUUAAUAUACAGUGAUAUAACGUACACUAUCACACACAUAAAAGCGUAUCUAUCAAAUACGUAACACUUGAUCUUCACUAAUAAGCAUUAAUUCCAACACAACUGUUGCAAUUUGAGUCUUAAACAAAAACGUUGUGGUUUCAUCUCGAUCGAUUCUAAAGUUGGAGUACGCUUGUUUAGCUUCUUUAAGCAAACAACACUUCAUGCCAUUCAUGUUUGAAGCUUAAAACUAAAAUAUUAACAUCAGAUGCUCUGAACACGCAGCGCCAGUGUAAUAUUUUUUCUUUUUCUUUGUAAUUGGGGGGGUGUUAGAAAAAUGUUAAGAGAUAGAGGAAAUGUUUCUGAUCCAAGCUACCUGAUGAUGGCAGUAAUGCACUGUUGAGUGCGGUUGCCAGUGAAAGAAAGAAGAAGAAGAAGAAGAAUUUGACAGAGAUGA
This 1142-nucleotide long non-coding RNA is filed under the name Sinocyclocheilus anshuiensis. RNAcentral describes it as "lncRNA (ENSSANG00000001234.1)". Lineage: Eukaryota; Metazoa; Chordata; Actinopteri; Cypriniformes; Cyprinidae. The record is from RNAcentral.